AAAGUAAAAAAAUUCAAAGAACAAAGUGGGAAAAAUGGAUGCAUAUGAUAAAGAUAUUAUCAUUUCGUAUAUAUUUGUGGAUAUUCUUACAAAUCAAGAAGAGUAAACGGACAGUGAAUCAAGGAUAUGAAUAAGUAGUUCAUGGAGGAAAUGUGUUUCUGUGUGUGUACAAAUAAGGCAUUGUAAAUGUGCACUGAAGAUUUAUAAUGGAGAUUAAAACAUUAAAUACCAUUUUCACUUAGUAGUGAAUACUUACAUUGGCCAGGUUGUAGAAAAGCAAACACUUUACCAUCAAUUAUUGUUGAGAACAAUCUGACUUCAUCUACCAAAAUUUACAAUGUAGUGUAGGGUUCUACUUCUAAGAUCUGCUUGCACAGAUACACAAAGAUAUAUGUACAAACAAUUUGACUGCAGCAUGGCUUGUAAUAAUAAGCAAUGGAUAGUCACCCCAUAGUUUCUUACAAGAGGACUCCUUAAAUUACAGUCUGCCCAGACAAUAUUCAGUUCUUAAAAAGAGUGAAUUAGAUCUGAGUGUACUGAUAUGGAAAAAUGUUCAAAUACAUGAAGUUAAAAAAAAAGCAAGCAAUGGAACAGUGUGGUUUGUGUGAUUCUCAUUUGAAUAUUUUAAAAAGUAUCAUCUAUAGAAUCCAUUGCAUGUUUGUAAAUCAUUUCUUAAAGGAUAUAAACUAUGAAAUGUGGUUACCUAUGGUAAGGGCACUUGGGGGACUCUGGUGAUAAGGAGAGGAAUUUUAUGUCAUAUACCAUUCUGCAUAAUUGAGGAUUUUCCUCUGAAUAUGUAAUAUUUUGGACAGAACUGAGUGACUAAGCACACACACACACAUAAUAUUUUUACAACAUGUGACAAAUUUAAUCAUUGGGACCAGUCUUGGUUAGGGCAGCAGAUUAUAUACAGGAGGUCUAGGUAUUUGUGUUUGCCUUUGCAGGUUGAGGAAACCAGAUGGGGUAAGAAACACAUGUGAUUACUCCAGAAAGAAUGACUUAGCGCAUGUCACCCUUAGGAAUGCAGUGUCACCAAGAACCUUGGACCAGCACUGAGGUGAGAUGGGACAGUCUCUAAGGCACAGAAUUCACAUCUUUCCUUUUCUCUUCUGGUGGUGCAGAGGGUGGUUCCUGGCACAGCUCUCCCUCUCUGCAUUCUCUGGAGAGCCAGCUCUGCCCUGGGUUUUUGCUACCUUGUCAUCAUACCCUGGGUCUCAUCUUCUGCUUGAAAAGAAAGAUGGUGCAAGAGAGCAGCCACUGUCACUGAAGAGACUCCUCAGCUUCCUCUCCUAGGCUCCAGCAUGACGAUUUGGAAUGGCCCUGUGCCAGAAGAAGGGGAUACCAUGGUAAACAAGAAACAGAUGAACAAAAGUAAAUGAUAAUCUGUGCUAGGUUUUGGAGACACUCUAAGGGACCAGAAGAGAGAAAAACAAUGGAUUUGGGAAUGUGGAUGAUUUUUGUCUGUGAGGCCUAUAAGAUCUUAACUCCCUGACCAGAAAUGGAACCCAUGCCCCAUGCAUUGGAAGUAGUCAUGUAUGGAUGUGAGAGUUGGACUAUAAAGAAAGCUGAGCACCAAAGAAUUGAUGCUUUUAACUCUGGUGUUGGAGAAGACUCUUGAGAGUCCCUUGAACUGCAAGGAAAUAAAAUCAGUCAAUCCUAAAGGAAAUCAGUCCUGGGUGUUCAUUGGAAAGACUGAUGCUGAAGCUGAAAUUCCAAUACUUUGGCCAUGUGAUGCAAAGAACUGAUUCAUUGGAAAAGACCCCGAUGCUAGGGAAGAUUGAAGGAGGAGAAGGGGACGACAGAGGAUGAGAUGGUUGGAUGGCAUCACCAACUCAAUGGACAUGAGUUUGAGCAAGUUCUGGGAGUUGGUGAUGAACAGAGAAGCCUGGUGUGCUGCAGUCUAUGGGGUCACAAAGAGACACGACUGAGCGACUGAACUGAACUGAACUGAAGAUAAAAUAUGAUGAACAUUUCUAACAUCAUUUGACACA
Long non-coding RNA from Dama dama (fallow deer), 1991 nucleotides. RefSeq lists it as uncharacterized. The record is from RefSeq and is a predicted model, not a curated record. Lineage: Eukaryota; Metazoa; Chordata; Mammalia; Artiodactyla; Cervidae. The transcript has 4 exons.